RNAcentral lists this ribosomal RNA (203 nucleotides) under uncultured bacterium. RNAcentral's name for it is "partial 16S ribosomal RNA". It matches the Rfam family "Bacterial small subunit ribosomal RNA", at positions 524 to 727 of the family's 1533-position model. The record is from RNAcentral.
UACAGAGGGUGCAAGCGUUAAUCGGAAUUACUGGGCGUAAAGCGUGCGUAGACGGUUACGUAAGUCGGGUGUGAAAGCCCCGGGCUCAACCUGGGAAUUGCAUUCGAGACUGUGUAGCUAGGGUGCGGAAGAGGGAAGCGGAAUUUCCGGUGUAGCGGUGAAAUGCGUAGAUAUCGGAAGGAACAUCAGUGGCGAAGCGACUC